This 1741-nucleotide unclassified non-coding RNA is filed under the name uncultured fungus. Its description in RNAcentral is "sequence contains 18S rRNA gene, ITS1, 5.8S rRNA gene, ITS2, 28S rRNA gene". The stretch from base 595 to 1741 matches the Rfam family "Eukaryotic large subunit ribosomal RNA", at positions 1 to 960 of the family's 3401-position model. The record is from RNAcentral. Lineage: Eukaryota; Fungi.
GGAAGGAUCAUUAUUCUCUGUUACUUUUGUUUCUGCUUACGAAAGGCAACGGACAUCCGACUUGUCGAGGUAUCGGUGAACUUGUAGGCUUUGCUAGAUACCUAUUGAGAUUGAUGGCAAGUUGGGUUAAGUUGGCCUUCCUUUUUUGCUUAGGCGUAGAAAUGCCGCUGAGGAUGGCAAUGGGGUAAAUUCUCACGGCUAUUUACAAUGGAUUACUCGGCUCUUCUAACGAUGAAGGACAUGGCAAAAUGUGAUAACUAAUAGGAAUUGCAGGAUAACAUGACUCAUCAAAACUUUGAAUGCAAAUCGCAUCGACUUGAGCUGGGAAACCAGCGCUUGUUCGAUGUGUGCAUAGAGUUCCGUACCUACAUCAAUCACCAAUGGUGGAAUCGGAGUAAAGUCUUUAUUGAUUUUUCUCUUUGGAUGUGCUAUGGAUAGUAAGCUCUGAUCCACGGGAAGGAGCGAAAGCGAUGGAGAGGCUUGAUCACCUCAAAGUUUUUUUCGUGAGCUCUUGUUGGCGGUCAGUAGUUUGCAGGAGUAGAGUUAUAGCAGGGAAAGUCUUGACUCUGGCUAUAACGUUAAAUUGCUAAACCACGGACUCUGUGUACCACGAUCACUCCCCGAACUUAAGCAUAUCAUUAGGGGAAGGAAAAGAAAUCAACGGAGAUUCCCCUAGUAACUGCGAGUGAAGAGGGAAUAGCCCACGCCGAAUCCCCCUUGGGUAACCAUUGGGGAGCUGUAGCGUAUCAACCUGAUCAGACAAACCGAAGCCAGCAGAAAUUAGUUGGAAGACUAUGCCACAGAGGGUGAUAGCCCCCGUACGCUGGUCCGAGGGGAGUCAUAAUGAUCAGGAUUGUUGAGUCGGACUAUUUGAGAGUAUAGUCCUAAGCGGGUGGUAAAUUCCAUCCAAGGCUAAAUACAAAAGAAGAGACCGAUAGCAAACAAGUACCGUGAGGGAAAGUUGCAAAGUACUUUGAAAAGAGAGUUAAAAGCACAUGAAUUGUAAAUAGCAUGUAAGCAAUUGGCACCGUUUUCUAGGUGAGUGAAAUCAGCGCCCUUAUGAAGGUGUGGGAAUUGGAUGGAUUGGCGGUAACUCGCUAACCGGACUGUUCUCAUGCUGAAGUAAGGGAGUGCACUUUCGCUUGCCGUAUAGACCCUUCGUUUACUUUGUGAUGGGAAUAGGCCCUUUUGGAGGUAGCCCUUGUAACAGAGGGUGAUGCUGAUUGGGAGUAAAACCAACUAUGAGGUAGUUAUCCUUAACGGAGAUUUGACAUGCGUACUCAGUUAACUAUUGGGGGUAGUGAGGCGAAACUAUGCACGCACGCAAAACGGGUGACUCCGGGUUGCGGGUGGGUAGCAGUUACUUUGCUAAAUCUAAUAGCUGCAUUCGUCAAUCGAAGGUAAUGGUUCUAAUUGUCCCGUCUUGAAACACGGACCAAGGAGUUCAUUUGUUAUGCGAGCUUAAGGGCCUGAAAGCCUGGAGGCGAAGCGAAAGCAAUACUUGUCAACCCGAGGCUAUAUUAUAGCUGAAGGCGCAGCAAGGGCCGGUGGGUUGAUUUAUCAACUCGUCCGCGUCUUAGUAUAACGAAUGAGACCCGAAAGAUAGCGAACUAUGCCUGUGUAGAACGAAGCCAGAAGAAAUUCUGGUGGAAGUUCGUAGCGGUAUUGACGUGCAAAUCAUUCGUCAAACAUGGGUAUAGCGGCGAAAGGACUAAUCGAGCUAUCUAGUAGCUGGUUCCAC